RNAcentral lists this ribosomal RNA (253 nucleotides) under uncultured bacterium. RNAcentral describes it as "partial 16S ribosomal RNA". It matches the Rfam family "Bacterial small subunit ribosomal RNA", at positions 524 to 776 of the family's 1533-position model. The record is from RNAcentral.
UACGGAGGGUGCAAGCGUUAUCCGGAUUCACUGGGGUUAAAGGGUGCGUAGGCGGAUAGGUAAGUCCGUGGUGAAAUCCUGCAGCUUAACUGCAGAACUGCCAUGGAUACUAUUUAUCUUGAAUAUCGUGGAGGUUAGCAGAAUAUGUCAUGUAGCGGUGAAAUGCUUAGAUAUGACAUAGAAUACCCAUUGCGAAGGCAGCUAACUACGCGAUGAUCGACGCUGAUGCACGAAAGCGUGGGGAUCAAACAGG